This 596-nucleotide unclassified non-coding RNA is filed under the name Hevea brasiliensis (rubber tree). Lineage: Eukaryota; Viridiplantae; Streptophyta; Magnoliopsida; Malpighiales; Euphorbiaceae. The record is from RNAcentral.
CAUUGAGGCAAGCUAUUGGUUUAGAUAACCUUCUGUACACUCCAGAUGCUGAUUUUUCUUGUUUUGCGGACCUAGCACUCACCUCUCCAGAAGAUUACUAUAUUGAAGGGCAAGGUUCAUUGCUCCAGUGUGUUCUUACACCAGGUGAUCCAUACAUGCCCUUGCCAAAUGAUGAAAUCAUAAAGAGAGUCUCAAAGCAGGUUUUGACUUUAUUUCCAUCAUCCCAAGGCUUAGAAGUUAUCUGGUCAUCCGUAGUAAAAAUCGGGCAAUCCUUAUACCUUGAGGGACCUGGCAAAGAUCCCUUCAGACCAGAUCAAAAGACACCUGUGAAAAAUUUCUUCCUUGCUGGCUCUUACACAAAACAGGAUUACAUAGACAGCAUGGAAGGAGCAACUUUAUCUGGCAGACAGGCUUCAGCAUAUAUAUGUGAUGCUGGCGAAGACUUAGUAGCAUUAAGGAAGAAGCUUGCUGGUACAGAAUCUCCAGAAAACAGAGAGUCCGCUCCUAUUACUGAUGAGCUAAGUCUUGUAUGAUAUAUAGCUGGUAAUGGCCUCCUUUUCUUACUUUUGUAAUUCAAAUGAAAUUAUAUUACCAAU